GUAAGGAAUAUUGGUCAAUGGACGAAAGUCUGAACCAGCCAUGCCGCGUGGAGGAUGAAGGUCCUCUGGAUUGUAAACUUCUUUUAUAUGGGACGAAAAUGGGGCUUUCUAGCUCAACUGACGGUACCAUAUGAAUAAGCACCGGCUAACUCCGUGCCAGCAGCCGCGGUAAUACGGAGGGUGCAAGCGUUAUCCGGAUUAACUGGGUUUAAAGGGUGCGUAGGUGGAUUGGUAAGUCAGAGGUGAAAUCUCCGGGCUCAACUCGGAAACUGCCUUUGAUACUAUCAAUCUUGAAUAUUGUGGAGGUUAGCGGAAUAUGUCAUGUAGCGGUGAAAUGCUUAGAUAUGACAUAGAACACCAAUUGCGAAGGCAGCUGGCUACACAUAUAUUGACACUGAGGCACGAAAGCGUGGGGAUCAAACAGGAUUAGAAACCCCUGUAGUCC
This 445-nucleotide ribosomal RNA is filed under the name uncultured bacterium. RNAcentral's name for it is "partial 16S ribosomal RNA". It matches the Rfam family "Bacterial small subunit ribosomal RNA", at positions 354 to 796 of the family's 1533-position model. The record is from RNAcentral.